This 167-nucleotide ribosomal RNA is filed under the name uncultured bacterium. RNAcentral describes it as "partial 16S ribosomal RNA". It matches the Rfam family "Bacterial small subunit ribosomal RNA", at positions 348 to 509 of the family's 1533-position model. The record is from RNAcentral.
GCAGGUAGGGAAUCUUCCACAAUGGACGAAAGUCUGAUGGAGCAACGCCGCGUGAGUGAAGAAGGGUUUCGGCUCGUAAAGCUCUGUUGGUAGUGAAGAAAGAUAGAGGUAGUAACUGGCCUUUAUUUGACGGUAAUUACUUAGAAAGUCACGGCUAACUACGUGCC